This 71-nucleotide transfer RNA is filed under the name Magnusiomyces capitatus. RNAcentral's name for it is "tRNA-Phe". It matches the Rfam family "tRNA". Rfam says of the family: Transfer RNA (tRNA) molecules are approximately 80 nucleotides in length. Their secondary structure includes four short double-helical elements and three loops (D, anti-codon, and T loops). Lineage: Eukaryota; Fungi; Ascomycota; Dipodascomycetes; Dipodascales; Dipodascaceae. The record is from RNAcentral.
GUUCUUAUAGCUUAGUGGUAAAGCACUAAAUUGAAGCUUUAGCUACAUUGGUUCGAUUCCUUUUAAGAACA